GACCUCAGAUCAGACGAGAUGACCCGCUGAAUUUAAGCAUAUCAAUAAGCGGAG
This 54-nucleotide ribosomal RNA is filed under the name Anelosimus eximius. Its description in RNAcentral is "partial 28S ribosomal RNA". The record is from RNAcentral. Lineage: Eukaryota; Metazoa; Arthropoda; Arachnida; Araneae; Theridiidae.